Molecule: ribosomal RNA, 560 nt
Filed under: Pteroptyx tener
Lineage: Eukaryota; Metazoa; Arthropoda; Insecta; Coleoptera; Lampyridae
Description: partial large subunit ribosomal RNA
Rfam family: Bacterial large subunit ribosomal RNA
Source: RNAcentral
GAUUAUAAUUUAAGGUUUAAUCUGCUCAAUGAUUAUUUAAAUUGCCGCAGUAUUUUGACUGUGCAAAGGUAGCAUAAUAAUUAGUUUCUUUAUUGGGAACUGGAAUGAAUGAUUGGACGAGAAAAUUUCUGUCUCUUUAUUAUUUUAAUUGAAUUUUACUUUUAAGUUAAAAGGCUUAAAUUUUAUUAGAGGACGAGAAGACCCUAUAGAGUUUAAUUUUUAUUUAAAUAAUUAUUUUUAGUAUCUAUAUAUAUUAUUUAAAUAAAAAUUUAGUUGGGGUGACUAAAAGAUAAGAAUAACUCUUUUAAUUUUUAUCAAUUAUUUUUGAUUAUAAAAUCUUUAUUUUUAAUUUUAAAAUAAAUUACCUUAGGGAUAACAGCGUAAUUCUUUUUUAAAGUUCUUAUUAAAAGAAGAGUUUGCGACCUCGAUGUUGGAUUAAAAUUAAUUUUAGGUGUAGAAGCUUGAAAAUUAAGUCUGUUCGACUUUUAAAAUUUUACAUGAUCUGAGUUUAAACCGGUGUGAGCCAGGUUGGUUUCUAUCCUUAAUUAUAUAUUAUACUU